RNAcentral lists this long non-coding RNA (920 nucleotides) under Homo sapiens (human). RNAcentral's name for it is "non-protein coding lnc-MRPS22-1:25". The record is from RNAcentral. Lineage: Eukaryota; Metazoa; Chordata; Mammalia; Primates; Hominidae.
GCCGCUGAGCUUGGACCCCGACCAGAAGAUAGAGAUUGAAACGAUGAGGAAAACGAAGUGCCUAAUCCCCGCUGGACGCUAACUGCAGGGAACAUGGAGGAGACAUAUUUCCACCUAUUUCUCUCCAUAAGUAUAAAAGACCAUAAAAGACCAUCUAGGGACUUCAGAACCCAAAUAAUGACACAAUGUUAAUUUGCAGGUUCUCCCUCUGCCUGCCACCCCACCCAGCAAGGAGGAGAGGAAGUGUUGAGAAGGGAAGAGAUGAGUCCUGGCCCUGUCACUUCUUAGGGGUGUGCUUUUGAACAACCUGCUCACCAUGUAUGAACUUCACUCUUCUUGUUUAUAAAAUGAGGACAAUGACACCUGCAAGACUGUGAGGUUUAAAAACAAAAUCUGUGUUGAGAGGUAACUUGCCUCUUUUACUUACCAAUGAUUUCCUCAAUGCCUGGUGACUGGGGCUGGUUCAUACUAGACGAUCAAUAAAUGCUCCUUGAAUGAAUAGGUGGAUGAAAGAAAUGUCUGGCAUCUAUCACAGGUGCUGGCACUGAUAAGUGCUUGAUAAAUAGGCUGGCUGACUGUGAGUGAUGCUGACGGGCAAAGGACAGAGACACCAGGAAGGAGAACAGGACACGAAAGAUAACUGUCUCAGCCCUUGGGGAGUUUCUGACCCAGGAGGAUGGGAACAUCAAUUAUCAAUAGUUACAGAUCAUUAAAUAAUUGCAAGUGUGAGGCGCACUAUAAAGAGGAGGCUCAGAGUCCCCGCAUGCUCACACUCACACCUGGCCACAGACAGGUGACACCCCUGGCUUGCCCAGGCCAGCGGGUCUGCAAUGAGGCCAAGGACCUGGGCUCUUGAGAAGUUUUAAGUUUGAAAACAUUGCUUUUUAAGCUUAAAACAAUGAACCUUAAUAAAAGUAAAC